CACGUGGGUAACCUGCCCUGAUGAUCGGGACAACUCGAGGAAACUCGAGCUAAUACCGUAUGUGCCCUCCGGCCGUAAGGCCUCUGGGGAAAGGAAGCUUCGGCCUCCGCAUCGGGAUGGGCCCGCGGCCCAUUAGCUUGUUGGUGAGGUAACGGCUCACCAAGGCUACGAUGGGUAGCUGGUCUGAGAGGACGAUCAGCCACACUGGGACUGAGACACGGCCCAGACUCCUACGGGAGGCAGCAGUGGGGAAUCUUGCGCAAUGCGCGAAAGCGUGACGCAGCAACGCCGCGUGGGGGA
Molecule: ribosomal RNA, 300 nt
Filed under: uncultured Conexibacteraceae bacterium
Lineage: Bacteria; Bacillati; Actinomycetota; Thermoleophilia; Solirubrobacterales; Conexibacteraceae
Description: bacterial SSU rRNA
Rfam family: Bacterial small subunit ribosomal RNA
Source: RNAcentral